UGCAAGUCGAACGGCAGCACGGACUUCGGUCUGGUGGCGAGUGGCGCAUGGGUGAGUAAUAUAUCGGAACGUGCCCAGUCGUGGGGGAUAACGUAGUGAAAAUUACGCUAAUACCGCAUACGAUCUAAGGAUGAAAGCGGGGGAUCGCAAGACCUCGCGCGAUUGGAGCGGCCGAUAUCAGAUUAGGUAGUUGGUGAGGUAAAGGCUCACCAAGCCAACGAUCUGUAGCUGGUCUGAGAGGACGACCAGCCACACUGGAACUGAGACACGGUCCAGACUCCUACGGGAGGCAGCAGUGGGGAAUUUUGGACAAUGGACGCAAGUCUGAUCCAGCCAUUCCGCGUGCAGGACGAAGGCCUUCGGGUUGUAAACUGCUUUUGUACAGAACGAAAAGGUCUCUAUUAAUACUAGGGGCUCAUGACGGUACUGUAAGAAUAAGCACCGGCUAACUACGUGCCAGCAGCCGCGGUAAUACGUAGGGUGCAAGCGUUAAUCGGAAUUACUGGGCGUAAAGCGUGCGCAGGCGGUUAUAUAAGACGGAUGUGAAAUCCCCGGGCUCAACCUGGGAACUGCAUUUGUGACUGUAUAGCUGGAGUGCGGCAGAGGGGGAUGGAAUUC
RNAcentral lists this ribosomal RNA (618 nucleotides) under uncultured Comamonadaceae bacterium. RNAcentral's name for it is "bacterial SSU rRNA". It matches the Rfam family "Bacterial small subunit ribosomal RNA", at positions 56 to 669 of the family's 1533-position model. Lineage: Bacteria; Pseudomonadati; Pseudomonadota; Betaproteobacteria; Burkholderiales; Comamonadaceae. The record is from RNAcentral.